GUGGGGAAUUUUGGACAAUGGGCGCAAGCCUGAUCCAGCAAUGCCGCGUGCAGGAAGAAGGCCUUCGGGUUGUAAACUGCUUUUGUACGGAACGAAAAGGCUCUGGUUAAUACCUGGGGCUCAUGACGGUACCGUAAGAAUAAGCACCGGCUAACUACGUGCCAGCAGCCGCGGUAAUACGUAGGGUGCAAGCGUUAAUCGGAAUUACUGGGCGUAAAGCGUGCGCAGGCGGUUUUGUAAGACAGACGUGAAAUCCCCGGGCUCAACCUGGGAAUGGCGCUUGUGACUGCAAGGCUGGAGUGCGGCAGAGGGGGAUGGAAUUCCGCGUGUAGCAGUGAAAUGCGUAGAUAUGCGGAGGAACACCGAUGGCGAAGGCAAUCCCCUGGGCCUGCACUGACGCUCAUGCACGAAAGCGUGGGGAGCAAACAGGAUUAGAAACCCUGGUAGUCC
Molecule: ribosomal RNA, 450 nt
Filed under: uncultured bacterium
Lineage: Bacteria
Description: partial 16S ribosomal RNA
Rfam family: Bacterial small subunit ribosomal RNA
Source: RNAcentral